UACGAAGGGGGCUAGCGUUGUUCGGAUUUACUGGGCGUAAAGCGCACGUAGGCGGGUCGUUAAGUCAGGGGUGAAAUCCCGAAGCUCAACUCCGGAACUGCCUUUGAUACUGGCGACCUUGAGGCUGGAAGAGGUUAGUGGAAUUCCCAGUGUAGAGGUGAAAUUCGUAGAUAUUGGGAAGAACACCAGUGGCGAAGGCGGCUAACUGGUCCAGAUCUGACGCUGAGGUGCGAAAGCGUGGGGAGCAAACAGG
RNAcentral lists this ribosomal RNA (253 nucleotides) under uncultured bacterium. RNAcentral's name for it is "partial 16S ribosomal RNA". It matches the Rfam family "Bacterial small subunit ribosomal RNA", at positions 524 to 776 of the family's 1533-position model. The record is from RNAcentral.